GGUGGUACCAGCUGAACCCCCCCCAUGCCCACUCCAUCCAACAAUCUCGGAUCUAAUUCAUUUGGACCUCCAAAGAGGCUGGAACCAGAGUUCUGUCUUCCUCCAGGAUCCUGAGAAGCUCCUGGUCCUCUCAAGCCGACGAAAAGGGGAUUCAGAAUCCCCCACUGGCUUCCAGUUAACAGCAACAAGCAUUCCCUGACAUGUAGGGACGGCCCUCAGACCUGCAGGCCAGGAGAGACCAUCUGGUUCAACCCACCCCCCACCUCUACCAACAGAAGGGGAAAUGAAGGUCUGGAGCGAAGGAGCAGUCUGGCCAAGGACCUGUCACUGUCGCACCAUCCAAUAGCAACCGGUCCUGGUUCAGUUUCUACUCAGACAAACUCUGGCUUGCCCCUCUGAGUGUACGACAGACUAUGUAACAGGCCACCACAUGGCCUCUCUGUUCACGGCACAAAAAAUACAUAUUGCGAGAUGUUUUUACUUUUA
Long non-coding RNA from Grammomys surdaster, 486 nucleotides. RefSeq lists it as uncharacterized. Lineage: Eukaryota; Metazoa; Chordata; Mammalia; Rodentia; Muridae. The transcript has 2 exons. The record is from RefSeq and is a predicted model, not a curated record.